AAUGCGUUCACUCGGCGCAAACAUGGCUGCGGCCCUGCGCGCCGCGGGCGUCCUGCUCCGCGAUCCGCUGGCAUCCAGCAGCUGGAGGGUCUGUCAGCCAUGGAGGUGGAAGUCAGGUGCAGCUGCAGCGGCCGUCACCACAGAAACAGCCCAGCAUGCCCAGGGUGCAAAACCUCAAGUUCAACCGCAGAAGAGGAAGCCGAAAACUGGAAUAUUAAUGCUAAACAUGGGAGGCCCUGAAACUCUUGGAGAUGUUCACGACUUCCUUCUGAGACUCUUCUUGGACCGAGACCUCAUGACACUUCCUAUUCAGAAGUGAGAUAUAUAUAAACACCUCAAUUAUAACCUUGGCACUACAUUGACAUGUGUCUCUCAAUUCUGUAGUUUCAAACCAGUAAAUAGUUUUAAUGCGUAUCUGGUAAUGGUUAAACAGCAGCAUUGUUUUCUGUUGGAUAUCAGAAGGAUAUGAUAUCAGAAAAUUGCAGGGGGAGAGAGCAAAUAAGUUAGUGGGGAUUCUCCUUGAGCCCUUUGCUCCCCAGAGCCCUGGAAAUUGCAG
This 556-nucleotide long non-coding RNA is filed under the name Homo sapiens (human). RNAcentral's name for it is "non-protein coding lnc-NARS-2:3". The record is from RNAcentral. Lineage: Eukaryota; Metazoa; Chordata; Mammalia; Primates; Hominidae.